This 319-nucleotide ribosomal RNA is filed under the name uncultured Enterobacter sp. RNAcentral describes it as "bacterial SSU rRNA". It matches the Rfam family "Bacterial small subunit ribosomal RNA", at positions 1059 to 1378 of the family's 1533-position model. Lineage: Bacteria; Pseudomonadati; Pseudomonadota; Gammaproteobacteria; Enterobacterales; Enterobacteriaceae. The record is from RNAcentral.
CUCGUGUUGUGAAAUGUUGGGUUAAGUCCCGCAACGAGCGCAACCCUUAUCCUUUGUUGCCAGCGGUUCGGCCGGGAACUCAAAGGAGACUGCCAGUGAUAAACUGGAGGAAGGUGGGGAUGACGUCAAGUCAUCAUGGCCCUUACGAGUAGGGCUACACACGUGCUACAAUGGCGCAUACAAAGAGAAGCGACCUCGCGAGAGCAAGCGGACCUCAUAAAGUGCGUCGUAGUCCGGAUUGGAGUCUGCAACUCGACUCCAUGAAGUCGGAAUCGCUAGUAAUCGUAGAUCAGAAUGCUACGGGGAAUACGUUCCCGGG